Cyprinus carpio carpio is the source of this 1906-nucleotide long non-coding RNA. The record is from Ensembl. NCBI's taxonomy places the organism in Eukaryota, Metazoa, Chordata, Actinopteri, Cypriniformes, Cyprinidae.
CUUAUUUGAGAUGUAAAGCUUUUUAAAUUAACAUUUUUUCAACAGUCUUUUUAGGUUUAUGGCAUUGCGUUUCAACAAAUGAGUAAAACUGGAUUUAACUUUGCACAGGAAAGGUUGCCAGAAAUUGCUAUCGAUUGAGCUUAACUUUACUGAACCCAGUGCCCUUUAAAUGUCAGAUUAGCAGACAUUGUCCUGACUACGACCCGGCUGGUAUUAAAGAAGGACAUAAACAAAGUCACAAGUAGGCAACUUAUGAGUUUUUGGACAAUAAAAUAGUGUCCGAUACAACACCAUUAUAUUUCAUCACUGCAGCAACUUAGCAGGGCUGUUUAAACAAGCGCUGGAUGGUGGGUGGAUGACGAGGUUGCUGUUUGAGGCGCAUUGUUUAUGUGCUGUGCAGCGAGAAGAAAGGAGAUGAAGAAUAUCUCGGAGGCUCUGACAGCCGCUCUCCUGCCAGCUGCGGUAUUAAGCUUUGAAUUACUGUAGCUCUGCUCACUUUAAUGAAUCAGACUUGGCGUUUAUUUGCUCUAUAACAAGUAUGGCUUCAUUUGACUAUGCAGAGAGUCUAUUUGCCAGACCUGAGGUCACCAAAUCUUUUUAUGAACUGCUGGCUGCAGAGAAUAUCCUUUGUUGGUUUCUCUUUCAGUCUCCCUUUAUUAUUUCUGCACUGCCAUUCCUCAUGGCUUGUGCUGCUUUUUAUGGAAAUGUGUAGUUUACAGUAAAUGCUUCUGCUAUUGUAAUUUCAAAUCAUCUUUCUCCAUCAAUGUCAAUUCAAAAGUAUCCAUGCAUUCUGAUUAAAUGAAUGAGUUCUAUUUUCAGUGACUUUUGAUUCAUUUAAAACCACCAAUGGCCCUGUCUCAAAUUGCAGCCUAAAACUUUGCGGCCUUCCUCUGAGUGCACACUUUUGUGGCGUAAUGGCGUUUUGACUGUCGGGUAGAAGUCUGCUGUGGAGCUUGCCUCAGUGCGGGUUCGACAGAAGUGUGCAUUACAGCUGCAAAGGGAGUGCUCACGAGCACCGCUUUGAAAGCUAAAAUGACAAACAACUGUCGUAAGUCAAAAUCAUUCAACAAACACGAUUUUUAUUCCUCGCCAGUGGGAGAUCACUAAAAAUAACAUUAAAGAGGUGUCUGCAUAACUGCGGAAACUUGGGGUUCUGAGGGUGCUGCAGCACCUCCUGCCAACAGCUGAUUCAGCACUUUUGAAACAGUUGCAACUUAAGUCUUAAAGAAGAUUAAGGAAAACAGUCCGACACCAUGACCUCAAGAAAGCAGCCCGGAAAAUGGAGCACAGCUGGAAGAAAACAAAACUAGAGGUUUCACACUGCAUAGAGGGAAAGUACCUUAAAAAUGGCUAUCUGCUUACUUAACAAACACAAUCUCAGGUAUAUAUUCAGUACAGUGGCUAAAUUAAAGAAAAAUAAAGCAUCAACAGGUGCUGACAUUUCAAAGCAUCACUGCAGUAAUGACUUUAUGAACUUCUUUACUUCCAAGAUUGAUACUAUUAGAGAUAAAAGUAUAACCAUGCAGUCAUCAUAUACAGUAUUGCAUCAGAUUGCGCACUAUAGAUCCCCUGAGGCACAAUUCUGCUCAUUCCCUGCUAUAGGAUACAAAGAAUUGUAUAAACUUGUUAAAUCAUCUUAACCAAAAACAUGUAUGUUAGACCCUAUACCGUUAAGCUACUAAAAGAUGUGCUUCCAGAAGUCAUAGAUCCUCUUCUGAAUAUUAUUAAUUUGUAAUUGUCAUUAGGUUAUGUCCUAAAAACCUUCAAACUUUAAACUUCAUCAAUUUGUAUAAGUAAAUGAUGAGGUAUCAGAUUGAUCACAAGUGCAUUAUGGAGUACCAAAAGGCUCAGUACUAGGACCGUUGCUUUUCAUGCUUUAUGUGUUAACCUUGGGAGAUAUCAUCGA